Molecule: ribosomal RNA, 253 nt
Filed under: uncultured bacterium
Lineage: Bacteria
Description: partial 16S ribosomal RNA
Rfam family: Bacterial small subunit ribosomal RNA
Source: RNAcentral
UACGGAGGGUGCAAGCGUUAUCCGGAUUUAUUGGGCGUAAAGGGUGUGUAGGCGGUUCCGUAAGUCGGGUGUGAAAUUUCGGAGCUUAACUCCGAAACUGCAUUCGAUACUGCGGUGCUUGAGGACUGGAGAGGAGACUGGAAUUCAUGGUGUAGCAGUGAAAUGCGUAGAGAUCAUGAGGAAGACCAGUGGCGAAGGCGGGUCUCUGGACAGUUCCUGACACUGAGACACGAAGGCCAGGGGAGCAAACGGG